RNAcentral lists this ribosomal RNA (465 nucleotides) under uncultured bacterium. Its description in RNAcentral is "partial 16S ribosomal RNA". It matches the Rfam family "Bacterial small subunit ribosomal RNA", at positions 28 to 507 of the family's 1533-position model. The record is from RNAcentral.
GACGAACGCUGGCGGCGUGCUUAACACAUGCCAGUCGAACGGAAACGCCCUGCUUGCUGGGUACUCGAUUGGCCAACGGGUGCGUAACACUUUGGUGAUCUGCCCUGCACUUUGGGAUAAGCCUGUGAAACUGGGUCUUAUACCGUAUAGCAGCCAUUCUUAGUGUGAUGGUUGGAAAGUUUUUUAGGUGUUGGCUGAGCUCGCGGCCUAUUAGCUUUUUGGUGGGGUAAUGGCCUACCAAGGCGCCGACGGGUAGCCGGCCAGAGAGGGUGGACGGCGACAUAGGGAAAGAGAGACGGCGCAGACGCGGACGGGAGGCAGCAGAGGGGAAGAAUGAACAAAGGGCGCAAAGCAGAUGCAGCGAGGCCGCGUGGGGGAUGACGGACUUCGGGUUGUAAAAGCCUUACGCGAGGGACGAAGCUUUUAGUGACGGUACCUAGAGAAGAAGCACCGGCUAACUACGUG